AGUGAACGCUGGCGGUAGGCCUAACACAUGCAAGUCGAACGGCAGCACAGGAGAGCUUGCUCUCUGGGUGGCGAGUGGCGGACGGGUGAGGAAUACAUCGGAAUCUACUUUUUCGUGGGGGAUAACGUAGGGAAACUUACGCUAAUACCGCAUACGACCUACGGGUGAAAGCAGGGGACCUUCGGGCCUUGCGCGAUUGAAUGAGCCGAUGUCGGAUUAGCUAGUUGGCGGGGUAAAGGCCCACCAAGGCGACGAUCCGUAGCUGGUCUGAGAGGAUGCUCAGCCACACUGGAACAGAGACACGGGCCAGACUCCUACGGGAGGCAGCAGUGGGGAAUAUUGGACAAUGGGCGCAAGCCUGAUCCAGCCAUACCGCGUGGGUGAAGAGGGCCUUCGGGUUGUAAAGCCCUUUUGUUGGGAAAGAAAUCCAGCUGGCUAAUACCCGGUUGGGAUGACGGUACCCAAGGAAUAAGCACCGGCUAACUUCGUGCCAGCCGCCGCCGUAA
This 506-nucleotide ribosomal RNA is filed under the name uncultured bacterium. Its description in RNAcentral is "partial 16S ribosomal RNA". It matches the Rfam family "Bacterial small subunit ribosomal RNA", at positions 29 to 523 of the family's 1533-position model. The record is from RNAcentral.